Molecule: ribosomal RNA, 944 nt
Filed under: uncultured organism
Description: bacterial SSU rRNA
Rfam family: Bacterial small subunit ribosomal RNA
Source: RNAcentral
UUGACGGUACCCUACUAGAAAGGAGCCGCUAACUUCGUGCCAGAAGCGUCGGUAAUACGGGGGCUCCAAGCGUUAUCCGGUGUUAUUGGGCGUAAAGAGUCGUGUAGGUGGUUGGGUAAGUUAUCUUUCAAAUAUCUUUGCUUAACAAAGAGGAGGGGGAUAAUACUGCUCGACUAGAAUUUUCUCAAGGGAGAUCGGAACUGAGGGAGGAGUAGUGAAAUGCGUUGAUACCCUCGGGAACACCAGUGGCGUAGGCGGAUCUCUGGGAGAAGAUUGACACUGAGACACGAAAGCCAGGGGAGCGAAGCAGAUUAGAGACCUGCGUAGUCCUAGCCGUAAACGCAUGCUUGCUAGCUGCAUGAAUCUACCUUCGGGUGGUAUCGUGUGGCGAAGGUAACCCGUUAAGCAAGCCGCCUGGAAAGUACGGCCGCAAGGCUGAAAUUCAAAGGAAUUGGCGGGGAGGCACACAACCAGUGGAACAUGUGGUUUAAUUCGAGACUAACCGAAGAACCUCACCAGGGUUUGACAUGUAGCUGCACGUCUUAAGAAAUUAAGACUCUCUUGAAGGUGCUACACAGGUGCUGCAUGGCUGUCGUCAGCUCGUUCCGUGAGGAGUGCCCUUAAGUGGGACAACGAGCGCAACCCCUAUUACAUGCUAGAAAUGUCAUGUAAGACUGCCUUGCCAUUUGGCGGGGAGGAAGGAGGGGCAGACGUCAAGUCCGCAUGGUCCUUAUGCCCUGGGCUACACACAUGUUACAAUGAGUACGGCAAUGAGUCUGUCGCGAGCACGUAAGUGUAAGCUAAUCUCUUAAAUGUACUCUCAGUGGGGAUUGAGGUCUGCAACUCGACCUCAUGAACACGGAAUUGGUAGUAAUCGCGGGUCAGCUAUACCGCGGUGAUACGCUCUUGCCUCUUGCACACACCGCCCGUCAAACCAGCAAAGU